Vitis riparia (riverbank grape) is the source of this 4876-nucleotide long non-coding RNA. RefSeq lists it as uncharacterized. The record is from RefSeq and is a predicted model, not a curated record. The transcript is spliced from 2 exons. Lineage: Eukaryota; Viridiplantae; Streptophyta; Magnoliopsida; Vitales; Vitaceae.
CUGUAUUUAAUUGCCAUAGUACACAUUCUGAAGGAAUGAAUAAUUUCUCACUCUUGAUUCUCAAAAGGAUGAGUAUAACUUAUAUAGAUACAAGGUUGACUAAGCUAUAAAUAAUUUAGGCCUAAAUCAAGGGAUCUAAUUACAGGCAGAUUUCUAGGGAAGAAAUAAGGAAAGAAGCAAAAUAUACAAUCAUACAAUUCAAUUACAAUAUUUACAAACAAAUUAUACUUGAAUAAUUUAGACAUAAUUUGUCAAAUCUUCUAACACUUACCCUCAAGCAGGUGCAAAGAUGUCUUGCAUUCUUAGUUUGUCUAAGAUUUGAUGAAAAACCAAAUUUGGUAAACCUUUGGUGCGGAUGUUUUCCAGCUGCCUAGUUGACAAGACAUAUGGUGUACAAAUUUAUUCCAAAUCCACUUUCUCUUUGAUUAAAUGUUGAUCAACUUCCACAUGUUUGGUGUGAUCAUGAUGGACUAGGUUAUGAUCCAUAUUUAUCCUUAUUGUCACAGUACAACAUCAUUGUCUCCUUUAUCUUAAUCUUAAGAUUUGUGAGUAUUAUUUUCAAUCAUAGUAGCUCACAAUUAUUAUGAGCCAUAACUUUAAACUUAGCUUCUUCACUAGAUCUGGUCACAAUAGGUUUUUUUUGCUUCUUCAAGUGACUAAAUUUCCACCUAGAAAUGUGCAAUGCUCAAUAGUUGAUCUUUUAUCCACCAUUGAACUUGCCUAAUCCGCAUCGGUAUAGGCUUCUAACUUGAAAUCAUUAUUCUUUUGAAACAUUAUUCCCUUGCUUGAGGCUGUCUUUAGAUAUCCAAUAAUUCUAUAUACAUCCUCCAUAUAAGAAUUAAUGGGAGAAUGCAUAAAUUGACUCAUCACACUUAUAGCAUAUGCUAUAUCAAGUCUAGUGUGUGAUUAGUGAAUUAGUUUCCCCCAUUAUUCUUUGGUAGAUGCCUCUGUCAGCCAAAGGUUCUUCAUUCUUUUCCUUUAGCUUGUGGUUCAAUCUAUAGGGAUAUUUAGCAAGUUUGCACCCUAGCAUGCCAAUUUCUUUGAGUAGAUCUUGUACAUAAAAAUUACCUUUUUUGAUCUUGCAACUUGUAUCCCUAAAAAGUAACUUAGACUACCCAAGUCCUUGAUCUUGAAUUCCUUUGCUGGAUAUGGCUUUAAUUCUCUAAUUUCUUCCAAGUUAUCACUGGUAACAAUGAUAUUAUCUACAUAGCAAUCAAAAUGAUUACUGUACUAAGAUGGGAGUAUUUGAAGAAUAGUGUUUGAUCACCUUGGCUUUGACGAUAGCCCUUCUUCACCAUUGACUUAGUGAUCUUCCAAACUAUGUUCAUGGGGAUUGCUUGAGCCCAUAGAGUGACUUUCUAAGUUUGCACACUUUGUCUGUCCAAUAUUUGUGUAUAAAUCCAAGGGGAACACCUAUGUAUACCUCCCCCUCUAGAUCUCCAUGAAGACAUUCUUUACAUCAAAUUGCUGGAAAGGUCAAUCAAAGUUAGCAACCAAAGAUAAUAAAAUUUUGAUAGUAUUUAUUUUUGCUAAUGGUGUAGAGGUUUCUUGGUAAUCUAUACCAUUGUUUGAGUGUACCCUUUAGCAACCAACCUUGCUUUGGACCUCUCUAUGGUUCCAUCAACCUUGUAUUUGAUGGUAUAGAUCCAUCUACAACCCACUGUUUUCUUCCCUUUAGGCAAGUCCAUAACCUCCUGAGUUUUAUUCUUUUCCAAGGCUUGUAGUUCUUCAUUUAUAGCAUCUUUCCAUGGUUUACUGUUUAAGGCCUCUUGGACUAUUUUGGGAUUUCCAUUGGAGGAAAAUGAGUGAUAAAGGCAUGGUUUUUUAUGACAAUCUCUGUAAGGACACAGAAUUUGAGAUAGGAUGUUGUGUGUUCUAAUUCCUUUCCUAAAAGCAAUAGGCAAAUCCAAAUCUCUAUUAGUGUCAAGACUAAAAUUAACAUUUCCAUUACCUGUCACAGUUUUAGACAUUGGAGCAUGUGUAGGUAUUGUGGACCUUUUUCACCGGGAAUACACAUUGAAUCAGGUGCUUCAGGUCUCUUGUGUUCAAUCUCAAGUGACUGAAUCUGCAAUGUAGGUUUUGAGGAAUUCGGGCUCUUGUCAAGACUUCAGGAACUUAAACUCUAUUCAAUUUCAAUGGACAAACUUUCAGGUUGAUUUUUUUGGAUUAGUCACUCUUAAAAGGAAUAGGAUGAGGAGAGUGGUCAUAAAUAUUAGACAAAUAAUUAUAAAUAUUAGACAAAUGAUCAUGAGAAUGCCCUAAGAAAAUGCAUUUGAGAGCCUUAUUAGUCCCUUGAAAAUUUGGAAAGAACUCUAAAAGAGUCUCUAUAGGAGAUUUGAAUGCAAGAACCCGAGAUGGCAUACGGUUGAUCAAGUAGGUGGCUGCUAGAAUGGCUUCACCCCAAUAGAUUUUAGGAACUUUCAUUUGGAAUAGAAGGGACUUGGUAACGAAAAGUUAGAGAAUUUCUUAGUUUUCCUAUUAAUAAAUUCAAAAUUCAAAUUCAAAUAUUAGGGAUAUUAGGGACUUUUUAGAUUUGUAUUUUUUGUUUAAAUAGUUCCUCUUUUCUAGGGAGGUUGAGUUUCUAGUGUCAGAUCUUCCUUUAUUUAUUCCAUGUAUUAUUCUGAUUUUAAUUUAAUGAAGAAAACUAUUUUUCUCCCCACGAAAACUUUCACCUAGCAACCUCUAUAAAAUGCCUAUUUUUUCUCUCAGCAACCCCAUUUUGUUAGGGAGUAUCAAUACAUGAUUUUUAUUUUGAAGAUAUGUAAUCAAGUCAUUAUUAAAGUAUUCCAUUCCAUUAUCAAAUCUAAGCAUUUAUUUUUUGACUCCAAAUUGUGUACUAAUGAGUUUAUCAAAGAUCGGAAAGGUGGAGACCUCAAAUUUUGAUUUUAAGAGAUAAACCCAAGUGGAUCAAAUGCUUUCAUCAAUAAAUUUGAGAAACCAUUGAUAACUUGAAUGAUUUGAAACAUGAGAAGGACCCCAAACAUUUGAAUGUAUCAAACUAAAUGGACAAAGGUAUCUAUAAUUUUUUAUUGGAAAUGAAACUCGAUGGUGCCUAGCAAGAAGACAUAUUUCACAAUGAAAAUUGAGUCAGUCAACGUUUUCAAACAAAGAUGGAAGCACCUUUUUCAACAACGGAAAUGGAGGAUGUAUUAGAUGGCUAUGACAAAUCCAAAUCUGUUCAAUUUUUGAAGGAGAGGUAGAGACCAAACCUUGAGACCUUAAAACACUAGUCUUCUGAUUAGUAUCUAGGUAUAGUCCAUCUUUUUCCUUAGCAUGCCCAAUCAUCCUCCCCGUUAUAGAAUCAUGAAAAGUGCAAUUAGAAGUGAAUAUAACCGAACAAUUCAAAUCUUUAGUAAUUUUUCCUAUGGACAAAAGGUUAUAGGAAAGAUUGGAAACAUGCAACAUGUCUUUUAGGGACAAAGUUGGGUUGAUUUUGACCGGGCCUUGACCAGCUAUAGAGGGAAAAGAUGCAUCAACAAUCUUUAUUUUUUGCCUUCCAGAACAUGUGGAGUAAGUGGAAAAUAAUUUUGAAAACUAAUCAUAUGAUCUGAUGUGCCUGAAUCAAUGAUCCAGGUUCUGGAUAAGCAGUCCUUAGAGACAUUCAUUGCAUGGAUAUUACUUGAUUGAUCCAUAGACCAAAAAGUUGAAGUUGGUAUAGAACUUGGAACUUGGAUUGUGAUUUUCAAGCUAAUUCUGCAACGAAGGCUAAGUACUCUUGAUUUUCAAGCUGACAGAUUUAAACUUGAUGAAAACAGGACUGACGUAAGGCUUGUCCAUGAAGGUUAAGCACAACAAUUGGCAAAAAAGCCCAAAGAAAAAAUGGCAGUGAAAGCCUAGAAGAAGAUAACACACUGCAGAAUUGUUACCUGCUCUGAUACCAUGAAGGAAUGAAUAAUCUCUCUCUAUUAAUUCUCAAAAAAGAUGAGUACAACUUAUAUAGAUACUAGGUUGAUUAGGCUAUCGCUAAUUUAGGACUAAAUCAAGGAACCUAAUCACAGGCAGAUUUCUAGGGAAGAAAUAAGGCAAGAAAUAAAAUAUACAACCAUACAAAUCAAUUACAAUAUUUACAAACAAAUUGUAGCCAUUCAACACUGGACAUAAUUUGUCAAAUCUUCCAACACAUUCUUUUGAUAUAUUUGAAGUGUAUGACUAGAGAGAAACUGGUUUUACAUUUUUGCCUCUUAGCAUGAGUUUGUGAUUCUAUCUUGUGAUUAUUGGCAUGCUAUUUGUCAUAACUGCCUUAAAGAUUAAUAGAUUUAUAAAGGCAUAAAAGAUUUCUUACCUAGUAUUUGAAUGCAUGUAAGAUAUUCUUGCGUCUCUAUCUGCUAUUCAUGAUAUAUUGGGCAAUACAUGGUCAUAAAUUUUAAUGGGAAUAACCAAUAUGAUAAAUAUCUGACUUUAGGUGUAUAUGAUGGCUUGGAAGCCUUUUCAGAUUUAAAUACCAUAUUUCUUAGUAUGGUGCAUGGAACUUUAUGGAAUGGAAAAAAAUCAGUUUUGUUUGGAUACUGAAUUAGGUUAAGGUGCUUCAGUGAUAUCCUCCUUGAAAAUCUUUUAUUUUGCCCAGAAAUAGAAAGCCAUGUCUAAAAGUCAUAUCAAUGCUCAACAGUAUCCUUGGAAUCUCAACCUGGAAUCCAUUGAAUCUUCAUCCAUUGAACACAGCAUCAUUGCAAAACCAUGACCAAGUCCACUGUUUGCCUUGAUUAAAUCCACAGCCACACAUGAAUUUUCUCACUAGUUAAAUAUGUAGCUUGUUUUUUACAAAAUGGUUUAAAAAAUUCUGAUAUUUUGAAUUCUCCAAAACAAAGUUCUUGAGAUAUUGAUCUCUUGGUUUGGGCUAAAAAUUGAUGAGAGAACUUAUUCUAGUAGGAUGUAGAAG